Molecule: transfer RNA, 55 nt
Filed under: Gnathostoma doloresi
Lineage: Eukaryota; Metazoa; Nematoda; Chromadorea; Rhabditida; Gnathostomatidae
Description: tRNA-Leu
Source: RNAcentral
UACAAGUAGUAUAGGAUAAUAUAUUGGAUUUAGAGUCUGAAGAAGAGGUUGUAUU